CCAACAGGGAUUGCCCUAGUAACGGCGAGUGAAGCGGCAACAGCUCAAAUUUGAAAUCUGGCCCCCCGGCCCGAGUUGUAAUUUGUAGAGGAUGCUUCUGGGUAGCGACCGGUCUAAGUUCCUUGGAACAGGACGUCAUAGAGGGUGAGAAUCCCGUAUGUGACCGGCCCGCGCCCUCCACGUAGCUCCUUCGACGAGUCGAGUUGUUUGGGAAUGCAGCUCUAAAUGGGAGGUAAAUUUCUUCUAAAGCUAAAUACCGGCCUGAGACCGAUAGCGCACAAGUAGAGUGAUCGAAAGAUGAAAAGCACUUUGGAAAGAGAGUUAAAAAGCACGUGAAAUUGUUGAAAGGGAAGCGCUUACAACCAGACUUUGGGGCGGUGUUCCGCCGGUCUUCUGACCGGUCUACUCUCCGUCCCGAGGCCAACAUCAUCUGGGACCGCCGGACAAGACCCGAGGAAUGUAGCUCCCCCUCGGGGGAGUGUUAUAGCCUCUGGUGAUGCGGCGCGUCCCGGGUGAGGUCCGCGCUUCGGCAAGGAUGUUGGCGUAAUGGUUGUCAGCGGCCCGUCUUGAAACACGGACCAAGGAGUCUAACAUCUAUGCGAGUGUUCGGGUGUCAAA
This 618-nucleotide ribosomal RNA is filed under the name Zymoseptoria crescenta. RNAcentral describes it as "partial large subunit ribosomal RNA". It matches the Rfam family "Eukaryotic large subunit ribosomal RNA", at positions 65 to 706 of the family's 3401-position model. Lineage: Eukaryota; Fungi; Ascomycota; Dothideomycetes; Mycosphaerellales; Mycosphaerellaceae. The record is from RNAcentral.